GAGCUCUAUGGUACUGACAGCGAUAUAGUGUCAUGUAUUUUACCAGCGGGGAGCUCCGGAGACACUAACAUUCUCAGUGAAGAACUGAAAACACAUCUGUUGCCUUUGAAAAGCCAAAUCCUUGUUUCAUUCCAUUGUCAUCUUUCUGGAUUUGCACCGCCAGCAGUUUGGUAGGGUUCGGUGACUUGCUCAAGGGCACAUCGAUAGUCACUCAAGCCAAGACCCUACCGACUGAGCUACUGCUGCCCCUGGCACACAGUUACAACGUUAAGUAGAGAUUAACCAUGGAAGACUGAAAAAUGGGCCACACUUAAAGAGCACCAGUGAGAGAGGCAUAAAGAGAGACUGGGGGAUACAAAGUGAGGACAGCAGGUGGUUGGGGCAGCAGGACUUGAUCGUUUUUUUCUAAUCUUGACCCUAUUUUCCCACGUUGGAAGUGACUGAUUGGGACAACAUUUUUUUUAUUUGGUCCAGUAGCCUAUUAAGUGAGAAUAAAUGUAAUCAUAUUAGGCAAUACUUCAUCAUUGUAUAUCCACACAAAGUGCUUGUGUUUGCCAUAAAUGCUCAGACCUUAUGGAGCCUUAGGAGCCUAUCGAGAAAUUGAAUAUGUUUCUUUCCCUUUUGAUUGUUCCGGUCUGUUUGUUAUCAUUCAUGGAUGACUUGUUGCCGGAAGACGCCGGAAACAUGGGUGAUAAUUCGAGGGCUGCGGGAACAAGUUAUACAUGACACAAAAACAAACCAGAUCAGAUGAAGCGAAAAUUUAAGAACAAUGUUUUAUACUUUUGUAGAGUCCUUUCCAUAAUGUUUUCGGACAUUUUUGCUCAAUAAGGGGACAAUUUCAAAAAAAUGUUGUUCCCAUCAGUCAAACACAUGGGAAACAGAAUAUAGGUUGAAAAAUAGCGAAGUUUCCCUUUAAGUAAGGAUUUGAUCGUUCCAUUUCUGUGUUGCUGUGAACUGUAUUCUCUCCUCUCUUUCUUUCUGUGGUCACAAUCCUUUCUUUUUUGAAAGUGCUGAUCUCAUUUAAUUGUCAAAUUAUGCAUACAGUAGAUGAAAAAUAGACAUCAGCCUGAGAGCCAAUGACGAGUCUAAUGAGUCACUUGUGGGGAUAACAAAAUAAAAGGUGGCAGGGUUAAUAAUAUGGAAGCCUAUAUCGCAAAUGCCCUCUGACGUGUCACUCUGUUUCACUCUUUGUAAUGUAAUCUUUUCAACACUCUCUAUUUUUUUCCCCCCACCACACACACACACACACACACACAUACACACACACACAUACACAAGCUAAACCUCUCCUUUGUACUGUAGCAAUCAAAGGUACUAGACUGAGGGAAUAACAUCUUCAAAGGAGCAGGAGCCCGAGUCUGAACCCAAAUCCUCAUUCAUUCUGUUUGCUCUGAAGGAGUUCACCAUGUACUAUUCUUGCUCGAUGCUGCAAACUGCAAACAUACACACACUCAAAUACAGCCAAUGUACAAACACACAAGUCUGGCUUUGGAAAAUAAAAAUAAGAGUUCAAAGCUAAAGAUCCAAAAUGCCUGACACAUACAGUGUGUGACUAGGGUUCCUCCCUGUUCCCUCAUUGUCCAUUUCAGUACAGUCAAACCAAUAAGGUGAAUUCUCUUUCCAAAAGGAAAGAGAGUGGCAGAGAAAAGAAAAACACACUUAACGCCAAGGUCACGUAACGCACCUCACAGUCAGUGUGUGUGUCUGUAUUUCGUGACUGUCUCUCCCUUACCCCGUGCCCCAAAUUUUAUUUCAGAGGAUUAUGGAGCAUCUUUAUAUUGACAGACUCAAAAACAGUCACACAUAUUGACAGUAAACUUUUCAUCUUUCUGUCUCCUCCCCCCCAAUCCCUUCCACCUCUUUUUCUCUGCCGGUGUUGGAAAUGUGGCCUUGAGGGCAGGGAUUAUUCAUAAAGUUAGACGUAUCUACUCUAGCGAAAGCAAAGCAGAUAAGCUACUAUAUUAUGCAGCUUACUGCUGCAGUUACUUUGCAAUGCAACUUGAAGUUAGACGCAUUCAUUCUUCUUCGAGAUACUUCCUAAAAAAAAUAUGUUCUAUAAUAUUUGACAUAGGGUAUAUGUACAAUCUCAGCUCACCCUUGCAAAAGGGAUCAGGAUUCGAAUAAGACUUACAGAAUAAAUAAAGCUUAAAAACAAGAAAGGGCAUUCUCACUAUAUUAUGUUACGUGUAUACUCAGAGGAUCGUAAUAGCUUUAGUGAUUCACUGACUUUUUCCUGUUAACUAUUUUAGCGUAGCCAACAUGCUAAUCCUGAAUGAAUUCCAAUGACUUUGGUGAUUCAGCAGUUCAAGGUUUUUACUUAUCUUAGGAAAUAUCUUAACAUUGUAACAAUUGUAAUACCCCAUCUGACCUUUUAUGCAACCAUCACCAAGUGAACAUGUUACCAUGUCACCACAUUGCUUCAGUACAUAGCAUGGCUGUAGACUCUUAGUCCUUGAAUUCCACUUCUUUUAUUCCAGACAUAGUUAUAGAAGAUAUUAGAUAAAAGAACAUUUGUUCAUCAGUAGAUUAAUACGAAUGAACAUAAGCUCCCCACUAGUGCUCUCUCAGGGAAAAUCAGCUUGUGUCGCAAAUAAUAGAAGUAAAUUCUAUUCAUUAAUUUGUUUGUUUCUCUCAUAGACUUUGUAACCUCUCUGCCUUUCUCAGACCUUAUAUUUGGUGUGGUGGUGGUACUUUAAUCUCUGAAAAUCUCUCUCUGGGCCAUUACUUGUUAAUGGUAUUAAUAGCAGAUCUAGCGCUUUAGGCCACAAUAUGGAUUCAUUAGAGGGUGAAUAAAGACUAUUAUCCCGGGCAAAGUAAAACUUUCUAAGUUUAACCGAGCACAUCUCUGCCUCCCUUUAUCUAUGAGGGUGUGCAUGUGUGUGUGUUCAGUAACCAAGUUAAUGGGGGGAGACGAAGGCGGCCCGAAGUUAGAAUGAGGGUUGUUAUGUUACUGUACCAUAUGGGGGGUGCCAUGCUGAAUGGCAACAAAACUAUUGGGGUAUGUCUGUUCCAUUAGCAACUAAUUGCAGUGUUUUUAAACUUCGGCACAUUCUGUCCAGAUGUUCUUAUUGGGUUUUGUGUAACUUUCUUCCAUUUUUUUCCUUCGCAUUAAACAAUGUCUUGGUUUUUGCACUUAACACCAAGAUUCAGUACCAAGUGAAUUUGGACUUGAGACUGCACUGAUGUCAAAGCGUCGUCUGAGGAUCCAACAACACCAGGGGCAAUAUGUGAUCGAUAUAAGGAGGGUAAAUAUCCUGAGCAUAAAUAUACUCUAGUCUAUAGGGUUAGGGCUGUUGGCAGCAUGUGGUCCUCUCAGUGUAACACACUUACACUGUUUAUGCACAUCGCUUCUGGUAAGCAGAGAGUGCAACUGGGACUUCUUCUUGGGUAAGAACAAUAUUAUAUUUCAAUAUUUUCAAUGUAUUUUCCAUAAGCAAAACUUCCACGUUCAAUAUGUUUUCUACAACCAAGCAGAUUGGAGUGAAAUAGAGAAGGGAGCAAACUAACGUGCACUACCUCAGAGAUUGGAAACAAAGAUAAGAUGUGUAAAACAAAUCAGGCAUACAAUUGCAUUAUCUGGAACAAUUGAAUUGACACAAGCCGAAUACUGCUUUGCUUUGACUUGCUUCUCUGCGAAUCUCUCGGUAUAACUCUCUUACUCUCUGUGUUUAUUACCGAAUUGAUAUGACUGCGAACACCUAAUUAUAAGUAUGACGCUUUCCCUUUUACUAAUUAGAUCAUAAUAAUGUCAUUGUUCUGUUGCACAAAAAGCUUGACCAAUAACAAUAUUACUACAAGAUUCUGGUGGCAAGACUGGAAAGCGGAAGUAUAAAUAGUUUCAAUACAACACGGCUGAGAGUUGAUGAUGUAUUUUGGUCCUAAGGGGACAUGUACACAAAUAUCCUUGUAGGAUCAACUGUCAAUCACAGGGCUCCGAUUUCAUAUAUGUGUCAGCGUGUGUAAGUGUGUGUGUGUGUGUGUGUGUGUGUGUGCGUGUGCGUGUGUGUCUGUAUGUGUUUUCUUAAGUAAAUGUAAGUUGUCAUGCCUGCUGGAAUCCCCACAAUCAGGUAACAUAUCUGCCUAUAAAUGCACCUUUUUAAUGGUGUGUGUCUCUGCAUUUGUGUGACUGCACUUUCUCUCCUACAGCGUUCCUAUGAACACACACAGAGAGCCUUGGUUUCUGAUGAAAACAUGGCAGCCUGCAUGAACCACUGGGAAAUUGUGCUGGAAUAAUUACACAGGUCAACGUCAGGGUAAAGUUGGAACCGACAUGCCACGUUCAGCGAGUCCAGAAGGCUGAGCCCUGUGUCCGGCUGCUGGGAGGCGAGGAGCUUCCAGACGGACUCUUCAGGAGCUGCUGGACGAGAUGCCGGCUCAUGUCUCCUGUCCUCGGACUCCAGAGGACGUCAUUCAUGCUGCUGAGGUCCAGCGGCUGUGGAGACGUCCUCCUCCAUGUUGUCUGUUCUUUGGUUUUGUUUCAAUGUUCUCCAUCCAGUUAGGAGUUUGGUAUAAAAGCAUCAUUUCAUAUAC
Pseudoliparis swirei is the source of this 4530-nucleotide long non-coding RNA. RefSeq lists it as uncharacterized. NCBI's taxonomy places the organism in Eukaryota, Metazoa, Chordata, Actinopteri, Perciformes, Liparidae. The record is from RefSeq and is a predicted model, not a curated record. The transcript is spliced from 2 exons.